Molecule: ribosomal RNA, 497 nt
Filed under: uncultured bacterium
Lineage: Bacteria
Description: partial 16S ribosomal RNA
Rfam family: Bacterial small subunit ribosomal RNA
Source: RNAcentral
GAUGAACGCUGGCGGCGUGCCUAAUACAUGCCAGUCGAGCGAACAGACGAGGAGCUUGCUCCUCUGACGUUAGCGGCGGACGGGUGAGUAACACGUGGAUAACCUACCUAUAAGACUGGGAUAACUUCGGGAAACCGGAGCUAAUACCGGAUAAUAUAUUGAACCGCAUGGUUCAAUAGUGAAAGACGGUUUUGCUGUCACUUAUAGAUCGAUCCGCGCCGCAUUAGCUAGUUGGUAAGGUAACGGCUUACCAAGGCAACGAUGCGUAGCCGACCUGAGAGGGUGAUCGGCCACACUGGAACUGAGACACGGUCCAGACUCCUACGGGAGGCAGCAGUAGGGAAUCUUCCGCAAUGGGCGAAAGCCUGACGGAGCAACGCCGCGUGAGUGAUGAAGGUCUUCGGAUCGUAAAACUCUGUUAUUAGGGAAGAACAAAUGUGUAAGUAACUAUGCACGUCUUGACGGUACCUAAUCAGAAAGCCACGGCUAACUACGUG